GCGGAAGGUCAUUAUCGAAUAUAUAAACCUGGGUAGACUGUUGCUGGCUUCUCUUUCAGGGGGGCAUGUGCACGUUUAUCCUCUUUAUUUUUCCACCUGUGCACCUUUUGUAGGCUUGGAUUUAUCAGUGGUUCUAACAUGUUUUUCAAAGGCAUAUAAGAAUUGUUUUGGGACUGCUGUGUUUAAACAUAUGUUUAUCAGCUUUCCCUUUUAUUUUCCAAGUCUAUGUUUGUUAUACACACUCCAAAUGUAAUAGAAUGCUGUACUUUAGGUCAUUUGUACCUAUAAAUAAAAUCAGUACAACUUUCAGCAACGGAUCUCUUGGCUCUCGCAUCGAUGAAGAACGCAGCGAAAUGCGAUAAGUAAUGUGAAUUGCAGAAUUCAGUGAAUCAUCGAAUCUUUGAACGCACCUUGCGCUCCUUGGUAUUCCAAGGAGCAUGCCUGUUUGAGUAUCAUUAAAUUAUCAACUGUGCCAAUUUGGUUACAGAUUGGAUGUGGGAGAUUCUUUUUGCAGGCCUUUGACUUCUCUUUGAGAAAAAAAAUACAAGGUCGGCUCUCCUGAAAUGUAUUAGCAGUGCCUUUGUUGGUUCAUUAGGUGUGAUAAAUUGUCUACAUCUUCGCAUGAUACCUUCAUUUGUAAAGGCCAUAUUGCUUCUAAAUUGUCUUUGAUUGGACGCAAAACAUAUAUAAUGUUUGACAAACUUGAUCUCAAAUCAGGCAGGACUACCUGCUGAACUUAA
Molecule: ribosomal RNA, 740 nt
Filed under: uncultured Inocybe
Lineage: Eukaryota; Fungi; Basidiomycota; Agaricomycetes; Agaricales; Cortinariaceae
Description: eukaryotic LSU rRNA
Rfam family: 5.8S ribosomal RNA (bases 302-455)
Source: RNAcentral